Long non-coding RNA from Oreochromis aureus, 579 nucleotides. NCBI's taxonomy places the organism in Eukaryota, Metazoa, Chordata, Actinopteri, Cichliformes, Cichlidae. The record is from Ensembl.
AUCACAGCAUGUUGUUUUAAGCUAGCAUUAGCCAAGAAGUUAGCCAAUGCUAUUGGCUACCCUUAGCUCCAGAAACAAGAGGAAUCUUUUUCCCCCUUUUUUACCCACAUUGCAAAGCAUAAUAACAUCAUGACUGAGGUUAUUUGGCUGGUGCAAGGAAAGAGAGCUGUGGCAGUUGUGUGUGUACAGAUGAGGCAAAGAGAAGAAAGUCACUCAGGCGGUGAGCUUCACUCAUUUCUGGGAUAUACAACAGAAAGGCAACACAGAGGUGCAGAUACUGUGAAGGUGUCAGAAGGUACCAUGGUCACAAGAAGCUUCAGUACUGCGGGAUGCAGAGCUCUCACAGUGUGUGUAGCGCUUUUCCACUUCAAACUUCCUCUCAUUUUCUGUGGUCACUUCCUGGGUGUCCACAGUCAAGGGAUUCUUAUAAAAAAGAACCACAGCAACAGAUUGACUCAAUAAUUGGUGAGUUCCAAACCUCCUCUGGCAUUAACAGCACAAAAACUGUGCACUGGGAGUGUCAUGGCAUUAGUUUCCAUGGCCAAGCAGCUCCUGUAUGAGUAGUGUGUAGAUAUAGCC